This 349-nucleotide small RNA is filed under the name Oryza sativa Japonica Group (Japanese rice). RNAcentral describes it as "sRNA Os03g0701550". Lineage: Eukaryota; Viridiplantae; Streptophyta; Magnoliopsida; Poales; Poaceae. The record is from RNAcentral.
GGUUCGGCAAGUCCGACGCCGGCGGCACCCCGCUCUGCCCCUUCGACUGCGACUGCUGCUUCUGAGCUUUUUCCCGGGGGUUUUCCUGUGCUCGAGGUGAUGUUCUUAUGUCAAAUCCUUUGUAUGUUUGUAAUGCUUGAUGGAUUCUGUUGGGAACAUGCGCUUAGAUUUGUGCUCUAAUGGAAUGAAAUUUUGGUUCGUGUUAUUGAUGAUACUGGAUGAUAACUUGGGGGGACCUAUCUACCUCUGUUUUACAUCACUUCUUUGUGGUGCUAAUGCCAUGUCAAAUCUCUAUGAAUAGAGGAUGGUGUAUUCUUACAGCAAAGAAAGAUGGAUACUAGUUCACAGG